AUCGCCGGCAGAAGGUGAAGGGACUCUGCAAUGUUACCCCGAGCGUGAUUCGGGGUUACCGCUCCUGGCAGCGAAAAUUAACCCCGAGUCACACUCGGGAAUACAGUCAGGGAGGUUAAACAGCUGGCACCAAAGAAGCCCACCC
Bufo bufo (common toad) is the source of this 145-nucleotide long non-coding RNA. RefSeq lists it as uncharacterized. Lineage: Eukaryota; Metazoa; Chordata; Amphibia; Anura; Bufonidae. The record is from RefSeq and is a predicted model, not a curated record. The transcript has 3 exons.